GUGCCAGCAGCCGCGGUAAUACAGAGGGGGCGAGCGUUGUUCGGAAUUACUGGGCGUAAAGGGCGCGUAGGCGGCCCGCUAAGUCGAACGUGAAAUCCCCAGGCUCAACCUGGGAACUGCGUCCGAUACUGGCAGGCUUGAAUCCGGGAGAGGGAUGUGGAAUUCCAGGUGUAGCGGUGAAAUGCGUAGAUAUCUGGAGGAACACCGGUGGCGAAGGCGGCAUCCUGGACCGGUAUUGACGCUGAGGCGCGAAAGCUAGGGGAGCAAACGGGAUUAGAUACCCCGGUAGUCC
Molecule: ribosomal RNA, 292 nt
Filed under: uncultured bacterium
Lineage: Bacteria
Description: partial 16S ribosomal RNA
Rfam family: Bacterial small subunit ribosomal RNA
Source: RNAcentral